UCCUCGUUGACCGAGGCAGUCUCGCGUGAAAAAUACAACACACGACAAGGGUUGCGCUCGUUGCGGGACUUAACCCAACAUCUCACGACACGAGCUGACGACGACCAUGCAGCACCUGUCACUGAUCCAGCAAACUGACUCCCAAGUUUCCAAGGGAUACGAUCAGGAUGUCAAACCUGGGUAAGGUUCUUCGCUUAGCGUCGAAUUAAACCACACGCUCCACCGCUUGUGCGGGCCCCCGUCAAUUCCUUUGAGUUUUAAGCUUGCGCUCGUACUCCCCAGGCGGAGUGCUUAACGCGUUAGCUUCGAUACCCAGGGGGUCUAUUCCCCGAAUACCUAGCACUCAUCGUUUACGGCGUGGACUAC
Molecule: unclassified non-coding RNA, 366 nt
Filed under: uncultured bacterium
Lineage: Bacteria
Description: contains 16S-23S intergenic spacer region
Source: RNAcentral